GACGAACGCUGGCGGCGUGCCUAAUACAUGCAAGUUGAGCGCUGAAGGUUGGUACUUGUACCAACUGGAUGAGCAGCGAACGGGUGAGUAACGCGUGGGGAAUCUGCCUUUGAGCGGGGGACAACAUUUGGAAACGAAUGCUAAUACCGCAUAAAAACUUUAAACACAAGUUUUAAGUUUGAAAGAUGCAAUUGCAUCACUCAAAGAUGAUCCCGUGUUGUAUUAGCUAGUUGGUGAGGUAAAGGCUCACCAAGGCGAUGAUACAUAGCCGACCUGAGAGGGUGAUCGGCCACAUUGGGACUGAGACACGGCCCAAACUCCUACGGGAGGCAGCAGUAGGGAAUCUUCGGCAAUGGACGAAAGUCUGACCGAGCAACGCCGCGUGAGUGAAGAAGGGUUUCGGAUCGUAAAACUCUGUUGGUAGAGAAGAACGUUGGUGAGAGUGGAAAGCUCAUCAAGUGACGGUAACUACCCAGAAAGGGACGGCUAACUACGUG
RNAcentral lists this ribosomal RNA (497 nucleotides) under uncultured bacterium. RNAcentral's name for it is "partial 16S ribosomal RNA". It matches the Rfam family "Bacterial small subunit ribosomal RNA", at positions 28 to 507 of the family's 1533-position model. The record is from RNAcentral.